RNAcentral lists this unclassified non-coding RNA (254 nucleotides) under Basidiomycota sp. RNAcentral's name for it is "partial contains small subunit ribosomal RNA, internal transcribed spacer 1, and 5.8S ribosomal RNA". The stretch from base 1 to 47 matches the Rfam family "Eukaryotic small subunit ribosomal RNA", at positions 1785 to 1831 of the family's 1831-position model. The record is from RNAcentral. Lineage: Eukaryota; Fungi; Basidiomycota.
AAAGUCAUAACAAGGUAUCUGUAGGUGAACCUGCAGAUGGAUCAUUAGUGAAUAACACGGGGUUCCCACUAUGUGGGCCCCAACCCCUUCACCCAUAUCCACACACCUGUGCACCGCUAGUGACGGCCGAUACGCAAGUAUCUUGUCUGCUACUAGCAACCCUUUUUACACAUACACACAAAGUAAAUGAAUGUCACUGUAACUACGCAAGUAGAAACAAAAUACAACUUUUGACAACGGAUCUCUUGGUUCUC